This 28-nucleotide non-coding RNA is filed under the name Mus musculus (house mouse). Lineage: Eukaryota; Metazoa; Chordata; Mammalia; Rodentia; Muridae. The record is from RNAcentral.
UUCUUAUGAAGUCAGAUUGCCUUUCUCC